UACAUGGGGGUGCAAACGUUGCUCGGAAUUAUUGGGCGUAAAGCGCACGUAGGCGGCUUUGUAAGUUAGAGGUGAAAGCCCAGGGCUUAACCCUGGAAUUGCCUUUAAGACUGCAUCGCUAGAAUUGUGGAGAGGUAAGUGGAAUUCCGAGUGUAGAGGUGAAAUUCGUAGAUAUUCGGAAGAACACCAGUGGCGAAGGCGACUUACUGGACACAUAUUGACGCUGAGGUGCGAAAGCGUGGGGAGCAAACAGG
This 254-nucleotide ribosomal RNA is filed under the name uncultured bacterium. RNAcentral's name for it is "partial 16S ribosomal RNA". It matches the Rfam family "Bacterial small subunit ribosomal RNA", at positions 524 to 776 of the family's 1533-position model. The record is from RNAcentral.